Small nuclear RNA from Sarcophilus harrisii (Tasmanian devil), 108 nucleotides. Lineage: Eukaryota; Metazoa; Chordata; Mammalia; Dasyuromorphia; Dasyuridae. The record is from Ensembl.
GUACUCAUUUUGGCAAUAUACAUAUACUAAAACUGGAACAAAGCAGAAAAAUUAGCUUGGUCCCUGUAAAAAGAUGACCUGCAAAUUCAUGAAAUAUUUCAAAUUUUU